ACCACUCAGUUUCCAGCCUAGAUCUUAACUGUAGAUCCCCACAUAACCAGUAAAUAUCCCCCAAUGACCUGGUAUGGUGUUGCAACAGGCGUAUAUGAACAGUUCUGUAAGUGGCGCAAUAACCUUUAGAAAAAUUACCCAUGAAUUUACCAAUCCCGUCAUACAUGGCAUAACAAGUGUAAUUACCUCUAUAGACUGGGAUUCCAUCUGGUGGCUUAACAUUUUCAACUAAGAGAGGGUAUUCUGCCGUCC
RNAcentral lists this long non-coding RNA (252 nucleotides) under Pelobates cultripes (western spadefoot toad). Lineage: Eukaryota; Metazoa; Chordata; Amphibia; Anura; Pelobatidae. The record is from RNAcentral.